GUCCCUGUAGCGCAAGGAACAGCGCGUUGGACUUCUAACCCAAAGAUCAUGGGUUCGAAUCCCAUCUGGUAUG
Non-coding RNA from Trichonephila clavata, 73 nucleotides. Lineage: Eukaryota; Metazoa; Arthropoda; Arachnida; Araneae; Nephilidae. The record is from the annotation of a GenBank genome assembly.